RNAcentral lists this ribosomal RNA (137 nucleotides) under uncultured eukaryote. RNAcentral's name for it is "partial 18S ribosomal RNA". It matches the Rfam family "Eukaryotic small subunit ribosomal RNA", at positions 1299 to 1458 of the family's 1831-position model. The record is from RNAcentral.
UGGUGGAGUGAUUUGUCUGGUUAAUUCCGUUAACGAACGAGACCUCAGCCUGCUAAAUAGUCUGGCUAUCUUCGGAUGGUAAAGACUUCUUAGAGGGACUAUCGGUGUCUAGCCGAUGGAAGUUCGAGGCAAUAACA